CCGGACUCCCACCUGUCUUGAUUUCCCUGGGACAGUCCCUAUUUUAGGGUAUAGUCCCGCGAAAAUCGAGAUAGAUGGGAGGCCGGUAACAAC
Molecule: non-coding RNA, 93 nt
Organism: Pelobates cultripes (western spadefoot toad)
Lineage: Eukaryota; Metazoa; Chordata; Amphibia; Anura; Pelobatidae
Source: the annotation of a GenBank genome assembly